UCCGGCUUAUCACCGGCAGUCCCUCUAGAGUACCCAACUCAAUGCUGGCAACUAAAGGCGAGGGUUGCGCUCGUUGCGGGACUUAACCCAACAUCUCACGACACGAGCUGACGACAGCCAUGCAGCACCUGUGUUCCCGCCAGCCGAACUGAAGGAUACGAUCUCUCGUAUCCGCGACCGGGAUGUCAAGGGCUGGUAAGGUUCUGCGCGUUGCAUCGAAUUAAACCACAUACUCCACCGCUUGUGCGGGCCCCCGUCAAUUCCUUUGAGUUUCAGUCUUGCGACCGUACUCCCCAGGCGGCGAACUUAACGCGUUAGCUUCGAUACUGAGUGCCUAGUUGCACCCAACAUCCAGUUCGCAUCGUUUACGGCGUGGACUAC
RNAcentral lists this unclassified non-coding RNA (381 nucleotides) under uncultured Pseudomonadota bacterium. RNAcentral's name for it is "uncultured proteobacterium contains 16S-23S intergenic spacer region". The record is from RNAcentral. Lineage: Bacteria; Pseudomonadati; Pseudomonadota.